UCCUCCGUGGCGCAAUUGGCUAGCGCGUCUGACUGUUAAGCAUUCCAUUCGAAAGCCUGAUAUCAGGAGGUUCGUGGUUCGAGCCCACGCGGGGGAG
Molecule: non-coding RNA, 97 nt
Organism: Aaosphaeria arxii CBS 175.79
Lineage: Eukaryota; Fungi; Ascomycota; Dothideomycetes; Pleosporales
Source: the annotation of a RefSeq genome assembly